UCAAAACACAUUGAAAGGUAAUAGGGUUGUAAAUUCCAAGAGAUAGAAUAAGAGACAAAUUUAAGGUUCCUUUCUUAUCGAAACUUACCUCUCGUCUGUCACCACCAUCACCGUCGUCGAAAUCACCAUGGAUUCACAGGUUUCACUAUAUCUCCAUUUCCUGUUUUAUUGUCUUCUAUUACAAUUGAUAAUAAGAAAAAUGUAUUUUAUCACGCAAAGUGUCAUCACUCUUUAAUUUAAUUAACACAUGACAUUCAGUACAAUGCAAUGGACUUGCUCCAAGCACAAGUUUUUGCAUAUUCAAGUGUUUUUCUUGCUUUUAAUCCUACCAUCUAAAUGUUUUUUCAUUAUAAACUUGAGUUUAGGAAUAAAAACUCUUUUAUUAGUAUUUUGUCAAAAAAAGUGAGUACAUAACUAGCAUAAUAAACCAUGCAGAGGGAGCUCACUUAAUCAUCUACAAGAAAUGAAUACCAUAUCUAAAGUGUAGAAAGUCACACACCUUCUUCAAAUGGACAGCAAGAUGAAUCUUUGCCAAAAUAAAGAAUUAGCACAUCCGCGAUACACCAUCAUAACACUUCCUAAUUUUUAUGUAACCAAUCCUCCUGUUAGGCGCUGCACACUACAAUAAGUUAGCUGACAUGUUCUUCAAGUUGACGCCAAAAGCAAACAACAAUGUUCAGCAUUCAAGCACAAAAUCAUAGAUGAAUGUACUUUGCACAAUGGUCUAUAUCAUUUUCGUAUAGAGUAACGACAUACAGAUCUGAUUGACAAGUGCAUAUUAAGAAGCACACGUAUGACACUAAACACAUAAAGACCCAAACGAACAUCGAUAAAAAUUGGUUUUAAAAUUAUAAAACGCUGCAAAAAUAUAAUACAACACAUAAACUAGUAUGAAACACAAAUCUCAGAAGUGUUUGUGAAAUUAGUUGAGAUAUACACUGAUUUGACCUUUACUAUUAAACUAUUGUAUAUAAUUUUGUUUUCAUUAGGAUUGAUUUUAUCUAGAUUUAUUUAAUGUUGUUUAACUAGCCGGUAUAACGACAUUAUACCUCUAUAGCAUAGAUAAAUUUGGACAAACCGCUCUUGUUCUGAGAUAUGCUAUUCAAUACAAAAUAUUGUCGAAUAGCCGCUAUAUCGACACUAUUACAAAGAAAUUUUUUAACAAACUGCUAUCUGCAAUUGAUAACACUUGAUUUCCAUGGGCAUAUCUAAAGUUGAAUAUUUCAGAAACAGUGUCAGAAGCUAGUGUGGUUAUGGACAACAACAGUAAUGUUCGUGCUGUUUUGGACAUGAAAACAUCUCAAAAUAUGAAGCAAUUGAGAGGAUUAUUGGGUCUUACUAGUUAUAAUAAUGUUUGUAAAUUCUUUUAUACCUCUAAAAUGCAGAAAUAAACUGCAUACACUAGAGAAUUUUAUACCAUUAUAGCUACCUAUCAAAAUUCAGACACUACUUACUUGGGCUGAACUUGCACGUCCUUUUUUUGCAGCGAUUCUAAGAAGGUGAACCGUCGAGCCAUUACGAGCGAAGAAGGGGAAUAUUCGCGCGAAUAGGUUUCGGGUGUUUGGGUGAGAGUUGUGCGGUUCUGGAUUCUGGUGAAAUUCCUUCGUCGUGCUGUGCGUUUUGGAGAGGUUAAAGGUUGUGAAAAUGGGUUAUUUAU
RNAcentral lists this long non-coding RNA (1657 nucleotides) under Lathyrus oleraceus (garden pea). RNAcentral describes it as "Pisum sativum (pea) long non-coding RNA (PSAT_LNC010842)". Lineage: Eukaryota; Viridiplantae; Streptophyta; Magnoliopsida; Fabales; Fabaceae. The record is from RNAcentral.